RNAcentral lists this non-coding RNA (771 nucleotides) under Pan troglodytes (chimpanzee). Lineage: Eukaryota; Metazoa; Chordata; Mammalia; Primates; Hominidae. The record is from RNAcentral.
GGGGGAGAAUGGGCAUCCCACCCCAGCACUUUCUAGGAAGGAGGGCAGCAUUUUGAAGGGCUGGAAGUAGAGGAAGGAGGUUGCGGGUAGAAGACUCCAUACUUUCUGUGAUGCCUAUUCCUUAGCUUGAGAUGAAUGUUUUCUCAGUAUCCUAUGCUGAAAACAGAACAACAGAAGUUUCAACAUUCUGCCAACAAAGUAACUCCUGGAAGAUUGGCACAGAAGAAGGCACAAGGAGAGCCUUUAUAUAACCAAAGAUAUUUUUGGACCAUGAAUUCGGAAAUUCUCGGAGCCACCCAUCAGUGCCUGAGCUUCAGUGAGUCCAUAUCCCAUGUCACCCACGGCAAAGGAGAAUCUAAGACUUCUGAAGAGUUUCUUGCUUCUUUCCUGUGGGGCAGUGACUCCACUUCCCAGCAGUAAUGGAAUAUCCUGAAUUAGCUACAUUAAUGUUAGAACCAUUUGGACCUCACCCAGGACUUCAACUACAUUAUGCUAAAGUUACAGAACCCAAAUUUGGCAACUGUCUGCAUCUGAACAACAGAAGUUUCAACAUUCUGCCAACAGAGUAACUCCUGGACGAUUGGCACAGAAGGCACAAGGCAAAUACCUAUCUCUGUACACCCUGUGCUACUGUGUCAUGUGCUGCUCCAGGCAACUCCAAUGGAUUGGCCACCCUGGCCAAUGUGUUCUAGUAUGUUAGGUUUAUGUUCCCCUGCUUUCUACAAUCCUGUUCAAAGAGUUGCUGACUUAACCACAGAGAGGAUUCCAGAA